AUAUGGCCAUAUACCCAUAUAGACAUAUAGCCAUAUGGAUAUGCAAUAAAUCAGCCACGUGCAUUCGAGUGAUUCAGCUCGAGAGAGUCGUGCCAAAGAUUUGAGCAAUUUUUUCCCUUUUUUCCCCCGCUCAUGUAAUUAACGCUGACGUCAACUGAAAUUAUUUACAAGAAUCAAUUUUCAAUCGAUUAAGUUUAGUUGCGGGCCCCAACACAACUUCGAGAUCGCCCGGGGCAGCUCGACUGGCCGGACUGACUGCUGUCACGUCGGAAGUUGAUUCAGUCACAGAUUGUCGCUGCACUCGGGAACUUUUGAUUUUUUAAAAAUCAUACAAAUGGUGAAAUUAAAAUUAUCGCCGGUGUCCCCACAUUAUUUCACUGUCGGAUUUGCGUAGCAUUGUUCGGGCACCGAAAACUUGAACAAAACUUCGAGCUAAAAAACCGAAAACGAAAAGCCAAAAGCCAAAAGCCGAUUUUCAACUAGAUACGCUGGAUUGGCAUUGCCCCUAACGGAUUGUGCGGCGACAUAAGCUUUGAUGGAUUUUGACAUAAAUAUGAGUUGGAAUUUCGUGCGAGCGCGGCCAUGUUUGGCAUGCCAAAAGCAGAAAAGCAGGGCUUAUCACUCCACCGACCAUAUAGACCCCAUAUAAGCGAUCUAUGCUCGGAUCUAUACGAUCGAUGGACGGUGUGGAUACGAUUCGAUCGGAUUGAAUUGGAUUGGCAGCCAAACUGACGACGACAGGCCAGAAAAUAAAAACACGGCCGUGUCCAAAAGCCACGACUAUAUGGAUAUGUAUAUGUACGUUUGCUUAUGGGCAUCGAUCGGUCUCAAAUACGAGCGAACACACAAUUUAUGCUAAUCCCGGUGGCCAUAAUUUGUAUUUUGUUGCUCAGUGUAGCCGAUGAAUUUUAGCAAAGUGAGCGCGUGUGGAGCAUGUACAAGCAGCAGCCAGCCGGGUCCAUCCCAUUGCGUUUAAAUGAUUAAUUUACAUAAAUAUUUUUAUGAUUUGCCAACAAAACGGCCGACAACAGAGAGAAUCUGGCCAGCUGCCAGGCUUACACUUAAAUUUAAGGAGUUUUAAUCAUUACUUAUUUCAUUUUUAAGCCAGGCUUAAAACACCUUCUUAAUUGAUACUUCAGAGCAUUUUAUAACCCUGCCUUUACUGUUGGCAUUUUAUGUUUUCUUCUAUUUCCAUACAGUAAACCAGUAAAAUAUUUUCUAAAAAUAAACUGAUAUUUAACAGAUGGAGGA
Long non-coding RNA from Drosophila sechellia, 1251 nucleotides. RefSeq lists it as uncharacterized. The record is from RefSeq and is a predicted model, not a curated record. Lineage: Eukaryota; Metazoa; Arthropoda; Insecta; Diptera; Drosophilidae. The transcript is spliced from 2 exons.